Molecule: long non-coding RNA, 3541 nt
Filed under: Ananas comosus (pineapple)
Lineage: Eukaryota; Viridiplantae; Streptophyta; Magnoliopsida; Poales; Bromeliaceae
Description: long non-coding RNA (ACOM_LNC017705)
Source: RNAcentral
AAUUCAAUUAAAUUAUUCAAAUUGGCCCGGACAAGAUCAAAUUGUACCAAAUUGGAUGCAAGUGCCAUUACAAUAAUUUGGAGGACUUCUUUGCAAUUAUCGGAUUUGAGCCAGUCAACCUAGUCAAGUUGUUCAAUUCACCUUUUGGGUUUAAUUUGUGCUUAAUGUCAAAUUAGCCAUUAUUUUAAUAUGGUAUGAAAGUGAUUUUAUGUAUGGUAUAAAUUCAAACAUGAUUUUAUUAUGGUAUGAAUUUGAAAAUGGGAAAUAUGAUAUAAAUGUAUUUUACAAGUUUGGUAUUAUUUCAAAAGCUUUUACAAAUGUGAAAUGACUUCAAAAAGUUUUCAUUUGUAGUAUUAAUUUAAAAGGAUUUUACAAAUUUGGUAUAAUUUCAAAUGAGCUUUUCAAUAUAGUAAUAUUUCAAAUGAGUUUUGCAAAUGUGGUAUGAAUUCAAAUUUAUUUUGGAAUUAAUUCAAAUACAUUUGCAAAUAUGGUUAAAAUUCAAAUUGAAAUCAAUUAUGAUUUAAUUAUGGUUUUGUUUCAUUUUUGAAAUGAUGGCUAGUGUAUUUAAAGGGAGGCUUGGAUGUUGUUUGUACACAACUUCAGAAAAAUUCUUUAAGUCCUAAUUGUUCAUUGAUUUGUAAUUAUGAGCUUCUUGAGAGAUUGUAAAAGAAGUUUUGUGUGAUUGUAAGUGGCUUUAGUCUUGCCCUAUUCAAAAGGCCAAGUGAUAGUGAAAUCAGUACCUCGAGGAGAAGAAGGACCGGACUGGAGUAGGCAGAAGGGCCGAACUAGGAUAAAUCAUCUGUGUUAUCUGAGUUUGAUUUUCUUCUUUUAUUUAGUUGUGCAAUUUUUAUCUGGAUUUAAUUUUACUUGAGUUUUUAGUUGUCAACUAAUUCAGCCCCCCUCUUAGUUGCCAUUUGAUCCUUCAUUUGGUAUCAGAGAGCAGGUCUCACUGUUGCAGACUAACUGUCUCAUGAGAUGGCAACUUUUCACGCUAUCAUUGAAGGCCAAUCCAUCGCUCAUCCUUCUUUCUUUAAUGGGAGUAACUACACCUAUUGGAAGGUGCGGAUGCAGAUUUUUCUACAAUCCCUAGAUUUUGAUCUUUGGGGCAUUGUAGAAAAUGGCUACACUAAGCCUACCACGGCAACUAGCACAUGGAAGGCAGAGGACAAAGGUAAAUUUAAUUUGAACUCUAAAGCGAUGAAUGCUCUUCAUUGUGCUCUUGACUCAAACGAGUUCAACCGAAUUUCUACAUGCAAAACUGCAAAAGAAAUUUGGGAUAAAUUAGCCGUUGUUCACGAGGGGACAAAUCAAGUAAAAGAGUCUAAGAUAAAUAUGCUUACUCGCGAUUAUGAAAUGUUUUGUAUGCAACCAAAUGAAAGCAUUACUGAUAUGUAUACUAGAUUUACCAAUAUUAUUAAUAGUCUAAAGGCUUUGGGAAAGGCUUUUUCUGAUGCAGAUCUUGUUAGAAAAAUAAUCAGAAGUUUUCCUCAAAAUGGACCUUGGGAACCAAAGUUGGCGGCCAUUCAAGAAGCGCGCGACCUCGACAAAUUUUCAUUGGAGGAACUCAUAGGGUCUCUUAUGACUUAUGAGUUACGAUUGAAGAUAGAGCCUUCUACUUCCAUCAUCCAUACCGAAACGAAAAAUAUAGCCCUCAACUCUAACGAAGGAGAUAGAAGCGACUCUGACAAUGCCACUGACGACGAGAUCUCACAUCUUACUAGAAAAUUAAAAAAGAUCUUACAAAGAAAACACGGAGCUAAGUGGUCCGGCAAAGAUAAUGAUAGAUCUCACUUUUUUAAAAAAGAUGUAAAAUGCUACAAUUGUAAUAAAACAGGACACAUGAGUUAUGAUUGCCAAAACCAAAGUAAGUCUCCCUGAAAGGAGAAAAAGAAGAAUAAAGCCUUCUCCGCCGCUUGGAGUGAUGAUAGCGAUUCCGACAAGGAGGAAUCAACCAAGGAGGUCUCUAACUUAAGCCUCACCUAUGACGAUGCACCUUCGAAUUGUUGCUUCAUGACAAACAUAGAAGAUAAGGUAAAUGAUUUAACUUACGAUGAACUUUUAGAAGCUUUUUAUGAUCUUUAUGAUGAUCUCCAAAAAUUUGGUCCCAAAUAUGCUUCUUUAAAAAAAGAAAAUACAUCUUUAAUCUCAAAUUUAAAUUCAUUAAAAUCUGAAAAUAAAAGUUUAAAAACUGAGUUAAAUUUAUUAAAGAAGCAACUUGAGACCAAAAGUGAUGGCGAAAAUUAUAAAGAUACUAGUUUAUUUAAAACUGAAAAUGAAUCUCUAAAGAAGAACUUGAACGAUUCAAGAAAUACUUUAGAAAGAUUCAUUGGUAGCACAAAAGUUCUAAAUAUGAUGUUGGGUAAUCAAAGAUCCUAUUUGGAUAAAACUGGACUUGGAUAUCAACACAAGUUUAGUCAAAGAAAAAAUAUUUCUAAGCCAUUUGCAAAAUAUACAAACGGCAACAAGAAUGUGUUGUGUAUCUAUUGUAACAAAAUAGGGCAUCAUGUAACCCAAUAUCAAUUUAAAAAUAAGUUUAAACUUAGAUAACUUUGUGUGGUGAAAGGUUCUAACACAAGUGAACCCACAUCCAGGGUACCUUUCAUAGCUUAAAUUUUUGUAGGUAUACCUGCACUCAACAAAGUCAAGCGACAAAGGUUACUUGGACAGCGGGAGCUCAAGGCACAUGUUGGGCAACCCAACAAAUUUAUCAUCGCUUGAAUAUGAAGAGGGUGGGCGCAUAACCUUUGGAAAUAACUCCAAAGGUUGUACCAUUGGAAAAGGCUCAAUCGGUAACAAUUAAUUUUCUUUGUAUUUUUGGUGGAUUCUUAUCACUAUGGUUUAUCUUUCGUUUCAAUCAUUUUUUUUUUUUUUUUUUGGUAUAAGAUUUUCUGUGUAUUUUUUUAUAUCCUCCUUCAUCUUUUUAAAUUAUUUUUUUUGAUGAUAACAAAAGGGGGAGAAGAAAACGUUAUCUCAAAAUUAUUUUGAAAAUAUCUUUUUAUCGUGCUUAUUUUGAGGGGGAGUUUAUCUAUUACUUUAUUACCUUUUCAAAUUGUUUGUCAUCAUCAAAAAGGGGGAGAUUGUUGGAUUUUAUCCAAUAAUAAAUUUUGAAGAUAACAAACAAAUAUUGGAUUUAAUUUGUUACUUAGUAAUUUCAGGUUGUAGUUGAAUUUAAAAUGGCUCAAGCUGAACCGGAAUCAUGAUUUAAGGUAACAAUUCAAUUAAAUUAUUCAAAUUGGCCUGGACAAGAUCAAAUUGUACCAAAUUGGAUGCAAGUGCCAUUACAAUAAUUUGGAGGACUUCUUUGCAAUUAUCGGAUUUGAGCCAGUCAACCUAGUCAAGUUGUUCAAUUCACCUUUUCGGUUUAAUUUGUGCUUAAUGUCAAAUUAGCCAUUAUUUUAAUAUGGUAUGAAAGUGAUUUUAUGUAUGGUAUAAAUUCAAACAUGAUUUUAUUAUGGUAUGAAUUUGAAAAUGUGAAAUAUGAUAUAAAUGUAUUUUACAAGUUUGGUAUUAUUUCAAAAGCUUUUACAAAUGUGGAAUGAAU